Molecule: long non-coding RNA, 481 nt
Organism: Zophobas morio
Lineage: Eukaryota; Metazoa; Arthropoda; Insecta; Coleoptera; Tenebrionidae
Exons: 2
Source: RefSeq, a predicted model, not a curated record
AUUAAAAAAAGUUGUUGAAUUUGAUGAGCUCUAUAACUGACUAAAAUUAAAGCACUUAUUUCUGGGGACAUCCUGUAUAUCUACUUCAAUUGAUAUCUCUCCCUGUGUGUCUAUUGUUAGUAUUGAUAUAAUAAAGACGCCCCUAUCCUCUCAUCUUGUGUAUAUAUACAUUUUCCUGCACUUUUCAUGCUUAUUUCAACGAAGCUUCUCGUCCCAUCUUAACACAAAAAAAACAAAUAUGGACAACUAUCGUUCUACUGUUGCUAAACCCAACGGUAAUACUACAAGUAACACGCGUCCUUCAGAGUUUCUCUUCUCUUCACCAGAAUCUAAAACUAUCGUCUACGUGCAAAGAGCCAAUAUAAAUAUACAUUUUCCUCCUAAUAAUGUUCCCAACGGUUCCAAACGGUCUUAAGUGCCGUAGUGGCCACCAAUGUAGUUGUUAUUAAUAAUAAUUAAUAAUAAACAGAAUCAACAUGAA